Molecule: non-coding RNA, 484 nt
Organism: Camellia sinensis
Lineage: Eukaryota; Viridiplantae; Streptophyta; Magnoliopsida; Ericales; Theaceae
Source: RefSeq, a predicted model, not a curated record
UAUAACUGGUUAAAAUGUAACAGUAUGUUUUAGGUUCCAUGAUUAUCUCUGCCUUCGCCAUUGACAUUUAACAGAGAAAAUUAAUUAUGAAUCAAAUUCACUAUUGCUGUUUUAUUCCAAUGUUGCUCGUUAACUGUCUAAUUCUGAUAUUGUGAAUGGUAGACCAAAUUGAUUGCUUUUGUUGUCUGAAUACACUGACAUCAAAGAGCUUCCUCCUCAUCGACUAGCUGUGAUUCGUCGCUUUUUUGAAGACUACAAGAAGAAUGAGAACAAAGAGGUUGCAGUUAAUGAUUUUUUGCCUUCAGCUACAGCUCAUGAAGCUAUCCAGCACUCCAUGGUUUGAAAAGGAAAUGUUUACAAGGACGAACGAGAAACAUGCUAUGGAAAGAGAAGCAUAUCUUUGGUCUGUCUCAGAUAUGUGAAGUGUACACCAAAGAAAACGACACAAACUUUAUUUCACUGCUUAGAAAGUGCAAGGUUGGUU